GAUGAAUGCUGGCGGCGUGCCUAACACAUGCAAGUCGAGCGGCAACAGGUCUAGUUCACUAGAUGCUGACGAGCGGCGGACGGCUGAGUAACGCGUGGGAAUGUGCCCCAAAGUGAGGAAUAACUGCCCGAAAGGGUAGCUAAUGCCGCAUAUGAUCUUCGGAUUAAAGGAUUUAUCCGCUUUGGGAGCAGCCCGCGUUCGAUUAGGUAGUUGGUGAGGUAAUGGCUCACCAAGCCCACGAUCGAUAGCUGGUCUGAGAGGAUGACCAGCCAGACUGGAACUGAGACACGGUCCAGACUCCUACGGGAGGCAGCAGUGAGGAAUCUUCCACAAUGGGCGAAAGCCUGAUGGAGCAACGCCGCGUGCAGGAUGAAGGCCUUAGGGUUGUAAACUGCUUUUAUAAGUGAAGAAUAUGACGGUAACUUAUGAAUAAGCACCGGCUA
RNAcentral lists this ribosomal RNA (443 nucleotides) under uncultured bacterium. RNAcentral's name for it is "bacterial SSU rRNA". It matches the Rfam family "Bacterial small subunit ribosomal RNA", at positions 28 to 499 of the family's 1533-position model. The record is from RNAcentral.